GGGUCCGCACAAGCGGUGGAGCAUGUGGUUUAAUUCGAUGAUACGCGAAGAACCUUACCUGGGCUCUAAUGCGAGUGACCGCUCCUGAAAGGGAGCUUUCCUUCGGGACACGAAGCAAGGUGCUGCAUGGUUGUCGUCAGCUCGUGCCGUGAGGUGUUGGGUUAAGUCCCGCAACGAGCGCAACCCUAUCUUUAGUUGCCAGCGAUUCGGUCGGGGACUCUAGAGAGACUGCCUGCGCAAGCAGAGAGGAAGGCGGGGACGACGUCAAGUCAUCAUGGCCCUUACGACCAGGGCUACACACGUGCUACAAUGGUAGGUACAGAGGGCAGCUACACAGCGAUGUGAUGCGAAUCUCAAAAAGCCUAUCGUAGUCCAGAUUGGAGUCUGCAACUCGACUCCAUGAAGUAGGAAUCGCUAGUAAUCG
This 424-nucleotide ribosomal RNA is filed under the name uncultured bacterium. Its description in RNAcentral is "bacterial SSU rRNA". It matches the Rfam family "Bacterial small subunit ribosomal RNA", at positions 917 to 1344 of the family's 1533-position model. The record is from RNAcentral.